GAUGAACGCUGGCGGCGUGCUUAACACAUGCAAGUCGAACGAGAAGUGGAGACGGAAACCUUCGGGCGGAAGACUUUACUUCGAGUGGCGGACGGGUGAGUAACGCGUGGGUAACCUGCCUCAUACAGGGGGAUAACAGUUGGAAACGACUGUUAAUACCGCAUAAGACCACAGCACCGCAUGGUGCGGGGGUAAAAACUCCGGUGGUAUGAGAUGGACCCGCGUUCGAUUAGCCAGUUGGCGGGGUAACGGCCCACCAAAGCGACGAUCGAUAGCCGAUCUGAGAGGAUGACCGGCCACAUUGGGACAGAGACACGGCCCAAACUCCUACGGGAGGCAGCAGUGGGGAAUAUUGCACAAUGGGGGAAACCCUGAUGCAGCGACGCCGCGUGAGUGAAGAAGUAUUUCGGUAUGUAAAGCUCUAUCAGCAGGGAAGAAAAUGACAGUACCUGAGUAAGAAGCCCCGGCUAACUACGUG
This 478-nucleotide ribosomal RNA is filed under the name uncultured bacterium. RNAcentral describes it as "partial 16S ribosomal RNA". It matches the Rfam family "Bacterial small subunit ribosomal RNA", at positions 28 to 507 of the family's 1533-position model. The record is from RNAcentral.